This 490-nucleotide ribosomal RNA is filed under the name uncultured bacterium. Its description in RNAcentral is "partial 16S ribosomal RNA". It matches the Rfam family "Bacterial small subunit ribosomal RNA", at positions 30 to 507 of the family's 1533-position model. The record is from RNAcentral.
AUUGAACGCUGGCGGCAGGCCUAACACAUGCAAGUCGAACGGUAACAGGAAGCAGCUUGCUGCUUCGCUGACGAGUGGCGGACGGGUGAGUAAUGUCUGGGAAGCUGCCUGAUGGAGGGGGAUAACUACUGGAAACGGUAGCUAAUACCGCAUAAUGUCGCAAGACCAAAGAGGGGGACCUUCGGGCCUCUUGCCCUCGGAUGUGCCCAGAUGGGAUUAGCUUGUUGGUGGGGUAACGGCUCACCAAGGCGACGAUCCCUAGCUGGUCUGAGAGGAUGACCAGCCACACUGGGACUGAGACACGGUCCAGACUCCUACGGGAGGCAGCAGUGGGGAAUAUUGCACAAUGGGCGCAAGCCUGAUGCAGCCAUGCCGCGUGUAUGAAGAAGGCCUUCGGGUUGUAAAGUACUUUCAGCGGGGAGGAAGGGAGUAAAGUUAAUACCUUUGCUCAUUGACGUUACCCGCAGAAGAAGCACCGGCUAACUCCGUG